GAUGAACGCUGGCGGCGUGCCUAAUACAUGCAAGUCGAGCGAACAGACGAGGAGCUUGCUCCUCUGACGUUAGCGGCGGACGGGUGAGUAACACGUGGAUAACCUACCUAUAAGACUGGGAUAACUUCGGGAAACCGGAGCUAAUACCGGAUAACAUGUUGAACCGCAUGGUUCAACAGUGAAAGACGGUCUUGCUGUCACUUAUAGAUGGAUCCGCGCCGCAUUAGCUAGUUGGUAAGGUAACGGCUUACCAAGGCUACGAUGCGUAGCCGACCUGAGAGGGUGAUCGGCGACACUGGAACUGAGACACGGUCCAGACGCCUACGAGAGGCAGCAGUAGGGAAUCUUCCGCAAUGGGCGAAAGCCUGACGGAGCAACGCCGCGUGAGUGAAGAAGGUCUUCGGAUCGUAAAACUCUGUUAUUAGGGAAGAACAAAUGUGUAAGUAACUAUGCACGUCUUGACGGUACCUAAUCAGAAAGCCACGGCUAACUACGUG
Molecule: ribosomal RNA, 497 nt
Filed under: uncultured bacterium
Lineage: Bacteria
Description: partial 16S ribosomal RNA
Rfam family: Bacterial small subunit ribosomal RNA
Source: RNAcentral